RNAcentral lists this ribosomal RNA (2233 nucleotides) under Cronobacter sakazakii. Its description in RNAcentral is "bacterial LSU rRNA". It matches the Rfam family "Bacterial large subunit ribosomal RNA", at positions 730 to 2925 of the family's 2925-position model. Lineage: Bacteria; Pseudomonadati; Pseudomonadota; Gammaproteobacteria; Enterobacterales; Enterobacteriaceae. The record is from RNAcentral.
CUAGCCAUGGGCAGGUUGAAGGUUGGGUAACACUAACUGGAGGACCGAACCGACUAAUGUUGAAAAAUUAGCGGAUGACCUGUGGCUGGGGGUGAAAGGCCAAUCAAACCGGGAGAUAGCUGGUUCUCCCCGAAAGCUAUUUAGGUAGCGCCUCGUGAACUCAUCUCCGGGGGUAGAGCACUGUUUCGGCUAGGGGGCCAUCCCGGCUUACCAACCCGAUGCAAACUGCGAAUACCGGAGAAUGUUAUCACGGGAGACACACGGCGGGUGCUAACGUCCGUCGUGAAGAGGGAAACAACCCAGACCGCCAGCUAAGGUCCCAAAGUCAUGGUUAAGUGGGAAACGAUGUGGGAAGGCCCAGACAGCCAGGAUGUUGGCUUAGAAGCAGCCAUCAUUUAAAGAAAGCGUAAUAGCUCACUGGUCGAGUCGGCCUGCGCGGAAGAUGUAACGGGGCUAAACCAUGCACCGAAGCUGCGGCAGCGACGCUUAUGCGUUGUUGGGUAGGGGAGCGUUCUGUAAGCCUGUGAAGGUGUGCUGUGAGGCAUGCUGGAGGUAUCAGAAGUGCGAAUGCUGACAUAAGUAACGAUAAAGCGGGUGAAAAGCCCGCUCGCCGGAAGACCAAGGGUUCCUGUCCAACGUUAAUCGGGGCAGGGUGAGUCGACCCCUAAGGCGAGGCCGAAAGGCGUAGUCGAUGGGAAACAGGUUAAUAUUCCUGUACUUGGUGUUACUGCGAAGGGGGGACGGAGAAGGCUAUGUCGGCCGGGCGACGGUUGUCCCGGUUUAAGCGUGUAGGCUGACUUUCCAGGCAAAUCCGGAAGGUUAAGGCUGAGGCGUGAUGACGAGGCACUACGGUGCUGAAGUGACAAAUGCCCUGCUUCCAGGAAAAGCCUCUAAGCAUCAGGUAACAUCAAAUCGUACCCCAAACCGACACAGGUGGUCAGGUAGAGAAUACCAAGGCGCUUGAGAGAACUCGGGUGAAGGAACUAGGCAAAAUGGUGCCGUAACUUCGGGAGAAGGCACGCUGACAUGUAGGUGAAGCCCCUGCGGGUGGAGCUGAAGUCAGUCGAAGAUACCAGCUGGCUGCAACUGUUUAUUAAAAACACAGCACUGUGCAAACACGAAAGUGGACGUAUACGGUGUGACGCCUGCCCGGUGCCGGAAGGUUAAUUGAUGGGGUUAUCGCAAGAGAAGCUCCUGAUCGAAGCCCCGGUAAACGGCGGCCGUAACUAUAACGGUCCUAAGGUAGCGAAAUUCCUUGUCGGGUAAGUUCCGACCUGCACGAAUGGCGUAAUGAUGGCCAGGCUGUCUCCACCCGAGACUCAGUGAAAUUGAACUCGCUGUGAAGAUGCAGUGUACCCGCGGCAAGACGGAAAGACCCCGUGAACCUUUACUACAGCUUGACACUGAACAUUGAGCCUUGAUGUGUAGGAUAGGUGGGAGGCUUUGAAGCGUGGACGCCAGUCUGCGUGGAGCCAACCUUGAAAUACCACCCUUUAAUGUUUGAUGUUCUAACCUGGCGCCCUGAUCGGGCGUGGGGACAGUGUCUGGUGGGUAGUUUGACUGGGGCGGUCUCCUCCCAAAGUGUAACGGAGGAGCACGAAGGUCAGCUAAUCCUGGUCGGACAUCAGGAGGUUAGUGCAAUGGCAUAAGCUGGCUUGACUGCGAGAGUGACGGCUCGAGCAGGUGCGAAAGCAGGUCAUAGUGAUCCGGUGGUUCUGUAUGGAAGGGCCAUCGCUCAACGGAUAAAAGGUACUCCGGGGAUAACAGGCUGAUACCGCCCAAGAGUUCAUAUCGACGGCGGUGUUUGGCACCUCGAUGUCGGCUCAUCACAUCCUGGGGCUGAAGUAGGUCCCAAGGGUAUGGCUGUUCGCCAUUUAAAGUGGUACGCGAGCUGGGUUUAGAACGUCGUGAGACAGUUCGGUCCCUAUCUGCCGUGGGCGCUGGAGAAUUGAGGGGGGCUGCUCCCAGUACGAGAGGACCGGAGUGGACGCAUCACUGGUGUUCGGGUUGUCAUGCCAAUGGCACUGCCCGGUAGCUAAAUGCGGAAGAGAUAAGUGCUGAAAGCAUCUAAGCACGAAACUUGCCCCGAGAUGAGUUCUCCCUGAGACUAUAAGUCUCCUGAAGGAACGUUGAAGACGACGACGUUGAUAGGCCGGGUGUGUAAGCGCAGCGAUGCGUUGAGCUAACCGGUACUAAUGAACCGUGAGGCUUAACCUUACAACGCCAAAGAAGU